RNAcentral lists this small nuclear RNA (323 nucleotides) under Jaculus jaculus (lesser Egyptian jerboa). RNAcentral describes it as "7SK RNA (ENSJJAG00000004611.1)". It matches the Rfam family "7SK RNA". Rfam says of the family: 7SK was discovered as an abundant small nuclear RNA in the mid-70s but a possible function has only recently been suggested. Two independent studies have found that 7SK RNA binds the CDK9/cyclin T complex (known as elongation factor P-TEFb). Lineage: Eukaryota; Metazoa; Chordata; Mammalia; Rodentia; Dipodidae. The record is from Rfam by way of RNAcentral.
GGAUGUGAGGGUGAUCUGGCUGCGACAUCUGUCACCCCACUGAUCACCAGGGUUGGUUUGGCGAAUCUGGCUGGCUAGACGCAUGUCCCCUUCCUCCCGCACCGCCCCAUGUGUGUCCCUCUGGAAGCUGUACGCUGGUCGGAAAGUACACCCUUCCCGAAGAGAGGAGGGAGGGUCUUCAGUCAAGGGCAUACGAGCAGCUGUGCUCCCCUGCUCCCCUCCAAACAAGCUCUCAGUGACAUCUCUUGACAGUAAUUGUGUGUGUUUAAAAUCCAUAUUUCCUCUUAUCUAUUCAGUGUGUAAUUUAUUUCUAACAGUUUCUU